Molecule: ribosomal RNA, 468 nt
Filed under: uncultured bacterium
Lineage: Bacteria
Description: partial 16S ribosomal RNA
Rfam family: Bacterial small subunit ribosomal RNA
Source: RNAcentral
GACGAACGCUGGCGGCGUGCUUAACACAUGCAAGUCGAACGGAAAGGCCCUGCUUUUGUGGGGUGCUCGAGUGGCGAACGGGUGAGUAACACGUGAGUAACCUGCCCUUUACUUUUGGAUAACUUCAGGAAACUGGGGCUAAUACCGUAUACGAGCUCCUGCUGCAUGGUGGUGGUUGGAAAGUUUCGGCGGUUGGGGAUGGACUCGCGGCUUAUCUGCUUGUUGGUGGGGUAGUGGCUUACCAAGGCUUUGACGGGUAGCCGGCCUGGGAGGGUGACCGGCAACAUUGGGACUGAGAUACGGCCAAGACUCCUACGGGAGGCAGAAGUGGGGAAUAUUGAAAAAUGGGCGGAAGCCUGAUGCAGCAACGCGGCGUGCGGGAUGACGGCCUUCGGGUUGUAAACCGCUUUCGCCUGUGACGAAGCGUGAGUGACGGUAAUGGGUAAAGAAGCACCGGCUAACUACGUG